Vidua macroura (Pin-tailed whydah) is the source of this 2425-nucleotide long non-coding RNA. RefSeq lists it as uncharacterized. The transcript is spliced from 4 exons. The record is from RefSeq and is a predicted model, not a curated record. NCBI's taxonomy places the organism in Eukaryota, Metazoa, Chordata, Aves, Passeriformes, Viduidae.
CUAAACAUGCUGAGCAGAUGCACCUGCCCAAGAGGGCACCUUUACUGCCAUGAUGCUGGCUUCAAAAAUAUUGGGGUUUUUAAAGGGAAGUGGGAAUCAGAAUCUGAAAGGAGGAACAUGCUGUCUUCGGCAACUGUGUUACCAAACUGGCACCUGUAAUCAAUCAGAACUGCAACUGGCACAUCUCCACGUCAGGGAAGAUGCACACCACUGGCUAUCAAUCCUGUAGGGCAGCACAGACAGUUCCUGAGCCCCAGAACCUGUGCUAAUAGCAGGAGACUGCUUGGACACCACUAUUUCUGGCGUGACCCUUUGAGAGUGUUUUGGGUUCCUACUACAGGAACUUUAAGCCUCACUUCCAGCAUGGUGAUGACAAUGGGACAGAGACCUCACCAGUAGCACCUCCACAGGCUCUGGUUUCAGACUAUUCAUCUUUGGCUAUGGCUGGGCUGUUUCACACUCGUGUUUAGGCAGGGGUGUGCAGUUUUCCCCCUCAGCUGGUUGGCAACUGGAUGCUCAGAAGUUCUACAGCCAGUGCAGGGAUCCUGGCCCUGGGCUGCUCUGAUCAGGGUGAGAUACAGCCUUGCCUGAGGCAAUGUGUUUUUGAGCACCUUCCUGCCAAGGUACAGGCUUCACAGAGCUGCCAGAGGAGAGACGUGGGAGGGGAGAGUGAGUUUGAUUUUCUUCUGAGACAACUCCAACUUUGGAAAAGUUGUGUCUACAUUUCAGGCCUGAAAGCAUCCCCUCCCCUUCUCCAGGGGCCUAGAGUGCCCCUGCAUUAACUUCUCCCAUGUGAGGUACCUCCCCUUAGGUUUUGAAACUUUAAUGUCAUAACCUGUUUGUCCUGUUUAAAGCACAGGGUAGGGCUGGGGAGCUGACAGACCCUGAGCAAGCUGCGCCUCCAGCUACUCUGCAUCCUUAUGGCUCAGCAGGGAAGAAAGAGGGGGAAAAUAACUCUUAGAACCUCUACAUUUUGCUGUCUCAGGGUGGGAUUUUCCCCCUCAAAAACAGCAUCAAAAAUAGCACAAUGACAUUUGGAUGUAGGUCUUGGCUCUGAGAGGGCUCAGUGGAGUGUUUAGCAGUGUGUUCACCUGAGGGCUUUGUCCCCAGACCUCAGCCCAUAUGUGAAGGCCGCUCACAGUGAUCCCUGAGAUGAAAAGGCUCCUUCCCUAUCUCCAGAAUAAGUCUGGCAUCUCUCAUCCUGACCCAUGUCAGCAACUUGUGCACACAAAGCUGUGGGGCUACAGCUGUGACGUAGCUGCAGCACAGCUGCUCAGCACCGGCACACCUGACUGGGCACAGGCACAGGCCAGCAGCCAGGGCUGUACACAGAAAAUGCCCUUACUGCUUCAUCAUCUGUCUUUGCAUGCCCCUGCCACUGCUGACCCCCAGACAGACCCCAAGGAAGACCUUACAGCAGACAGCCAUCGAUGGCAACACAGCAGGUGCACACACAUUGUUGGUGAGCAUUGCUGCUCAUCCAAACACACCCUGGAAACACUCACUGUUUCCAUAAAGCCCUGUAUUGACACCUUGAUGCAGUUGUGGCAUGGCUAAUGAAGGAAGUGGGCUAUGAUGUUCUUGGCAUCCAUAAGGUAAACAGUCAAAAAAGAGAUAAAAUGCAUUUUUAAUGCCAGCAGUGCUGUGUCCAGCACAUGGCUUUUCUGGGAUUUGUGUUUCCCGGGAUCUCUGAGAUUUUUGAUGCAACUUGUCACUUGAAGAAAGGAUGAGGCUUCAAAACUUUUUUAAUAGAACAGAAUUUUCAUCUUAACAUAGUCAAGACUAUUUUCAAAUACAUGAGGUCCUAUAUAUAGGAAUAUAUUUGUAGAAAUAGGAGAUUUUUGUUUUGUUCUGUUCUUUAAUGAUGAAGAGAGUAGCUGUGCCGAAUGUUUGGUGCCGAAUGUGAUAACGCCUGUGCCAGGCUCCAAGAUUAAUACAGUCGGGAGUGGGCCAGCACUCAACCCCUGGACAGUGUCUGGGCACCCAGGCUGCAGGAUUUGGCAAGGUCACAGGUGAGGUCAGGUGUAAUUCUCUGCCUGCUUGCUAGUCAAGACCCAACCCGAACCUGGUAUGAGUAAGAUGUCUGAGCAGUUGGCCAGAAAAUACUUCAAAACCCACUUGAAGUGGCAGUGGGCAGCUACCUGUUACCACACCUUGUUUUCUUCAGUGAGUCCCUAUGACUCCUUUUGGAAUUGUGUUUUCAGCCCAAGAACAGAUAUCAAAGUCCUUUGACACAGGUGCAGGCAUGUAGAGACAUGAAGCCCUCGGACCUGGCACCUCCUGGGGAGGCAGCUUGUAUGGCUUGGUGGCUCAACAUGUGCUCCAAAUGGUGCCAAGCACCUUCGCCUUUUGGAAGUGACAAACAGAAAGCCAAGCACCGCUGCCACCUGACAGGAAACAUCUGCAAUCAGUGAAUCAUAAAGCA